This 399-nucleotide RNase P RNA is filed under the name Candidatus Andersenbacteria bacterium CG10_big_fil_rev_8_21_14_0_10_54_11. Its description in RNAcentral is "RNase P RNA component class A". It matches the Rfam family "Bacterial RNase P class A". From Rfam's summary of the family: Ribonuclease P (RNase P) is a ubiquitous endoribonuclease, found in archaea, bacteria and eukarya as well as chloroplasts and mitochondria. Its best characterised activity is the generation of mature 5'-ends of tRNAs by cleaving the 5'-leader elements of precursor-tRNAs. Cellular RNase Ps are ribonucleoproteins. The record is from RNAcentral. Lineage: Bacteria; Candidatus Anderseniibacteriota.
GCAGACGGGUGAAUGGCCGCCCGCCAAUAUCUUCUUCGAAGAAGUUUUGUCGGGAGGAAAGUCCGGACACCCCUUUGAUCCUAAUCAAAGGAAGUGGGUGACAGGUAACGCCUGCCGCCCCGCCAAAGCGUCAGCGGCAGCGGGGUAGGGAAAGUGCAACAGAAACAUACCGCCCGCCUCCAUCUUCUCUAAUGAAGGUACGGUGGGUAAGGGUGAAAUCGCGGUGUAAGAGACCACGCCCCGCCCGGGUAACCCGGCGGGGGGGCAAACCCCACCCGGUGCAACUCCAAGCAGCGUCCCGUAAGGGGCCGGUAGGAGGCUUGAGCCUCGUCGUGAGGCGAGGCCUAGAUAGAUGGCCAUUUUCAAUGACAGAAUCCGGCUUACAGCCCGUCUGCUAAA